CCUACGGGUGGCUGCAGUCGAGAAUCUUCGGCAAUGGGCGCAAGCCUGACCGAGCGACGCCGCGUGCGGGAUGAAGGUCUUCGGAUUGUAAACCGCUUUCGGGGGGGAUGAAGUGCCGGGGGGUUCUCCCCUCGGUUUGACAGAGCCCCAAAAGAAGCACGGGCUAAGUUCGUGCCAGCAGCCGCGGUAAUACGAACUGUGCGAACGUUAUUCGGAAUCACUGGGCUUAAAGGGUGCGUAGGCGGCUCGUCAAGUCAGGUGUGAAAUCCCCCGGCUCAACCGGGGAAUGGCGCUUGAAACUAGCGGGCUGGAGCGAGGCAGGGGUGUGUGGAACUUCCGGUGGAGCGGUGAAAUGUGUAGAUAUCGGAAGGAACGCCGGUGGCGAAAGCGGCACACUGGGCCUUGACUGACGCUGAGGCACGAAAGCUAGGGGAGUGAAC
Molecule: ribosomal RNA, 440 nt
Filed under: uncultured bacterium
Lineage: Bacteria
Description: bacterial SSU rRNA
Rfam family: Bacterial small subunit ribosomal RNA
Source: RNAcentral